This 1358-nucleotide ribosomal RNA is filed under the name uncultured bacterium. Its description in RNAcentral is "bacterial SSU rRNA". It matches the Rfam family "Bacterial small subunit ribosomal RNA", at positions 28 to 1381 of the family's 1533-position model. The record is from RNAcentral.
GAUGAACGCUAGCUACAGGCUUAACACAUGCAAGUCGAGGGGCAGCAUGGUCUUAGCUUGCUAAGGCCGAUGGCGACCGGCGCACGGGUGAGUAACACGUAUCCAACCUGCCGUCUACUCUUGGACAGCCUUCUGAAAGGAAGAUUAAUACAAGAUGGCAUCAUGAGUCCGCAUGUUCACAUGAUUAAAGGUAUUCCGGUAGACGAUGGGGAUGCGUUCCAUUAGAUAGUAGGCGGGGUAACGGCCCACCUAGUCUUCGAUGGAUAGGGGUUCUGAGAGGAAGGUCCCCCACAUUGGAACUGAGACACGGUCCAAACUCCUACGGGAGGCAGCAGUGAGGAAUAUUGGUCAAUGGGCGAGAGCCUGAACCAGCCAAGUAGCGUGAAGGAUGACUGCCCUAUGGGCUGUAAACUUCUUUUAUAAAGGAAUAAAGUCGGGUAUGCAUACCCGUUUGCAUGUACUUUAUGAAUAAGGAUCGGCUAACUCCGUGCCAGCAGCCGCGGUAAUACGGAGGAUCCGAGCGUUAUCCGGAUUUAUUGGGUUUAAAGGGAGCGUAGAUGGAUGUUUAAGUCAGUUGUGAAAGUUUGCGGCUCAACCGUAAAAUUGCAGUUGAUACUGGAUAUCUUGAGUGCAGUUGAGGCAGGCGGAAUUCGUGGUGUAGCGGUGAAAUGCUUAGAUAUCACGAAGAACUCCGAUUGCGAAGGCAGCCUGCUAAGCUGCAACUGACAUUGAGGCUCGAAAGUGUGGGUAUCAAACAGGAUUAGAUACCCUGGUAGUCCACACGGUAAACGAUGAAUACUCGCUGUUUGCGAUAUACAGCAAGCGGCCAAGCGAAAGCGUUAAGUAUUCCACCUGGGGAGUACGCCGGCAACGGUGAAACUCAAAGGAAUUGACGGGGGCCCGCACAAGCGGAGGAACAUGUGGUUUAAUUCGAUGAUACGCGAGGAACCUUACCCGGGCUUAAAUUGCAGAUGAAUUACGGUGAAAGCCGUAAGCCGCAAGGCAUCUGUGAAGGUGCUGCAUGGUUGUCGUCAGCUCGUGCCGUGAGGUGUCGGCUUAAGUGCCAUAACGAGCGCAACCCUUGUUGUCAGUUACUAACAGGUUCCGCUGAGGACUCUGACAAGACUGCCAUCGUAAGAUGUGAGGAAGGUGGGGAUGACGUCAAAUCAGCACGGCCCUUACGUCCGGGGCUACACACGUGUUACAAUGGGGGGUACAGAGGGCCGCUACCACGCGAGUGGAUGCCAAUCCCAAAAACCUCUCUCAGUUCGGACUGGAGUCUGCAACCCGACUCCACGAAGCUGGAUUCGCUAGUAAUCGCGCAUCAGCCACGGCGCGGUGAAUACGUUCCCGGGCCU